CAAACCUUUUCGUCGUCCUCGUCGUACUUCUGUUCCGCACCUGGGCCGCUUCCGCCCAAUCGCCUACCUGGGCCGCUUCAGCAUGGGCCAUAAACUCGGAGCCUGAAAAAUCCCAUCGCCUGCGAACUAGGAAGAAAACACCACAUCCCCAAAUCACGGACGAAAAUCGUCCCAAUGUUCUCUGAAUUGAUCUCCUCCUCUUCCGCGCACCUCGCUCUCAAUGCGUCGCCGCCGCAUCUCCUCUCCUUCCCCCAUCUCUGCUUCCUCGCCGCUCGUUGUCCCGGAGGUCGCGGGCUACCCGAGGUAUCCGACGUACGUCUUCAAGAUCCACAGCCACCUUCUUCCGCGAUGGUGGAGCCAUGUGCUCUACCCCGACGCCCUGUGCUUCGCACCGCCGCCGUGGCGACCGCUCAUCUGUAGGCCUUCUAGGACUGAGUUGCGCGGCAACCACCUUGAAUCUGAGGGGGGUGGCCUCCAUUGUCAAGUCUGAUGUGGUUCCAGGAAACGUCGAUGUUGCGGGUAGAAGCGGAGGCAGAAUUGGGCAUGCUCAAAUUAUUCCUGCUUUGGUAAGCUGGGCAGCGAGGGCAUCGUCGAAGCAGCAGACCACUGCCGAGGUGUGGCGGCUCGGGAGUACCGUGGAGGUCUUCACCAUCUUCUAAUGCGUACGUGAAAUGUGGAACCAAGAGGAUAUAAUGUUUGCUCUGUCCUUUUUUUGUAAACUGGCAUUUAAAAGUAUCGUUGCUUAGAGAUUAGAAUAGCAAUGUAAGCUCAAGUCGUGAUGUGAGCCCUGAUGAAACUCGGCUGAGCAUAAUGUAGUAUGUUUGAAGAAGUUCUGAAGUGGCUUAACCUUUCAUUGACACUCAGUGUUAGGAUGCCCAUCUAUAUUCUUCAUCUAAUCUUAAUUUGAGCAAUGCCUCUAUUAAAAUGUUAUUUUGUGUAUAGGCUAGCAAGCGAAAGAUCUUGAGAGCUGGAAAAAUCAUUUGGUUGAGUGAAGAAAAAAUAAUCAUGUAAUCCCUUGGUCUGAAUGGAACAGAGUAUCGCUGUCGUGUGAUCGCUAGGAACAAACCCCUUGGUCUGAAUGUGAACUUUAGGUUGCCACUAGAGUUGUCUGCUUAUACAUUUAUGCUUUGUUUUGCCACUGUAAUGGGUAUUCCUAAAGCUAUUUCAUACUUCUGCGGUUCUGCCUAUGAGCGAUAUCACCAAGCUAAGCAUUGUUGUGAAACUGGUAAUUCCAUUGCUCCCAGUUGAGUUCCACUUGCAGCAUGAAUCAUGUUCUGAUGGAUGAUGCAACAAAGUAGAAUCUCAAGGAGUUGUUAUGGAGAAUCGAGUUGUGAAGCAUAUGAUGACAACAAUGGCUUGAGAACUAUCUUUGAGGAUUCAUUUUGGCACUUGAUCCAUUUUCAGUAUCUUGGAAGUGCAGAGUAGUGUGUCAAUGUGUUAAGUCUGAUUCGGGGCAUGUAUACGGUAUAUCUACACCAUAAGUGUGCUGGUUGUUGCGUAGAAAGGGUUAUAAUUGCCUCUGUGAACUGUA
Non-coding RNA from Lolium perenne, 1531 nucleotides. NCBI's taxonomy places the organism in Eukaryota, Viridiplantae, Streptophyta, Magnoliopsida, Poales, Poaceae. The record is from RefSeq and is a predicted model, not a curated record.